UUUUUUUUUUUUUUUUUUUUUUUUCCCUAGAUUCCAGGAGAUGCAGGAUUUUUCCUAAGGCAGGAGAAAACCCUAGUUCAUAGACAGCCAGGAUAAAAACCCUGGAAGACCAUGAGCCAAGAGUCCGUGAGACCAGAUGCUACAGCAAAUGUUCCAGAGAAAUGAACCUAGAAAAUGAUCCCGGGGCGCUCCUUGCGGGGGAACACAGGAUUCCUCAGCUCUAUCUCUGUGGCUUUAACAUACAUCAGUUUCAGGAAUCUCCAGCCUCAACAGAGAUAAAUGCCAGCCAACCCAGCUCCCUGGCACCCCCACCUGGUCCUGCAAGAACAGCUGACUGGCCAUCUGCACGAUCUGGUCCACGUGGAUGAUGCCCCCGAUGCUGGUCAUCUCCGUGUCUGAGAGCAGCGUCAGCACCAUGAUGGCUUCCACCAGCAGCUGCCGGUACUCGGGCUGUGGCACGCGGUUCAGCACCGAUUCGACAUGGACAGCAAACUUGAUCUCAUGCGGGGUCAUCUACCAAAGGGACAGGCAGGCAACCACCAGUGAGAGGACAGAUGCAGCCCUAUCACUGAGUAACCAAGGGUGACCGUAGCAGUGC
RNAcentral lists this non-coding RNA (598 nucleotides) under Pongo abelii (Sumatran orangutan). Lineage: Eukaryota; Metazoa; Chordata; Mammalia; Primates; Hominidae. The record is from RNAcentral.